Paramuricea clavata is the source of this 855-nucleotide non-coding RNA. Lineage: Eukaryota; Metazoa; Cnidaria; Anthozoa; Malacalcyonacea; Plexauridae. The record is from the annotation of a GenBank genome assembly.
CGGGCUUACGGAUCGAAAGCAUUGCAGUUAUAAAUUUACGUGGUGUUUCCACACACAAAACUAUUAUAUAUUUUAUCGUCAUGCAAUCAUACAAAGAACUUAAAGUGCCUAUCACCCAUUUUUUUUUUUUACUUUUUAUUCGAAAAGUAUAGUUAAAAACAAAUAUAAAUUCGAUUUUUUUUUUGAAAAUUUUUUUUCCCCAUGAUUUUAAUGCCAAAUUGUUACAAAAUUAUAAUGUUGGCCGAGCGCAUCGGGGACUGGUAACCUGUGACGUAGCACGAGGGACUCAUGUUAGUCGUGUUGUGUUUGCUACUGUAUAAAUAUACGAACAGAAAUGCUAUUUCAAGCUUAUUUUCGGAUUAUUUCAUUGAAAUUUUACAUGAAGAACAUCUUCCGGGUCAGACAAAUGCUCUAUCUCUGACGAUGACUCGGAAUAUAACUAUAUUCCGGGUAACUAUUCGCUCAUUGAAACGGAGAUUAUGCAAGCUUCAGAAAGUGACGAUGGCGAUGUAGAACAGUCUGAACAGACGAGCUUUGCUGAUGUGGAACCGUACUCAAGCGAGCCUAUGCGGAUGAAGAAUGGGUUAAAGAGUACAGACAACGACAAGCAGAAAAAGAACAAAAGCUUGCAAGUUUGAAAGAUCGUUUAGCUGGAAAAGAAAGCCUUAGUAACUGGUCAGUCUGAAACAAAACUAACAUGUAUUUUUAACAUUUUAAUUUCAAUGCCAAUAUUAUAAAUCAUUAUGUAUAAAUCGCUGACCCAUUGCUAUCACAUUUUAGGUGCUCUUGUGGUAAAUGCUCAACAACCCUAUUACAAAAUCCCAAUGAGUGCUUAUGUUGUCAAGACAUAGAGCA